CCUAAAUGGGGAUAAUUAGCGUCACUUUAUCACGCCUCUGCAUAUUUUCUCUGCGUCUCCCCCCUUCCCUAAAAAAAAUUACCAAGCAGCCUGCUCUCGUCGCCCGCUCUGUCACAGAAGAUUAUGGAGACAGAUUGCACAGAGCGAAUGUGCCGGGCGAGAUUAGCGCGGAAUAGAGAAAGCAACUGGGCCAAUGAAUUCCUCGGAAGGGCCUUAUCGUGCAAUUACACGUUGACAUGUUUAACAAUCUUGCUGCCUCUUAAUCCUGCAGUGCUGCUCUAUCUACCCACAGCUACCACGCUAUAUGCCGGCACACAGACCUAAUGCACCGAAACGCGGCACAAAUAUUUCACCGUUGCUGGAAUAGCAUCUGCACUGGAACUUUUUUUUUAAGAGGACAAUGGCCAUCAAGUCUAUGACCAGCUGAACUGGAUCACUGUGGGGAGACUGUGAUUUACAGAUAGCUUCUCAUCCCUUUUACUGGCAGGCCAUCUUUACCAUGAGCACUGGGAGAUAGGUGGUGCGGGCGAAAAGACCUCUCAGAAAAUGUCAGCAACUGUCAGAACCCCAAAUUUCUUCCAUUAACUCGUUCUUUCCUCUGUGAUGCUACCUUCUUGAAACCCCUUAAUUACAUAACCCCUUUCUCCUGUCACCCAAUGUUUUGUAUCCAAGUAAAGUGUAUGACUUCAGAUCGUGUGGCUUUUUUUUAGCUUAAAAUUGUGGAUAACAAAACAAUCCUAGCCCCAUAUUUUUGCCCAUCUGAGCAAAAACAAACACACACAUGCACACUCACACACACAAAAGGAAACUGCAUUGACUGCAGCAGCUCUCCUUCCCUCGUGGUUUUCACUGGAGCCAGUUUCACUGUCUUAAUACCCUUAGUCCCUCAGCUGGCAUGUUGUCCAAGAACCCGCUGCAUUUUCAGAUUUGUAAAAUCCGUCAAAAUGCCUGUAAUGAAUCUUUCUACAGCCUCAAGUGUAUUUAACGUGCUGUUUGACCAGCCCAAAAGAAACCUUGUAAAGAUCUGCCACUAUAGGAACAGAGGAUCAGAUGAAACAGGUCAUUUUCAUUUGAACACAAUCCCCUAUAAUAAACAUGUAUUGUUUGGAUAUGCUGUUAAUUUCUUAUUAACAUCUUUCUUGUGCAUGAGUGUAUACGCCAUGUAAUAUACAUAUUUUUUGCUUUAGAAAAGUAACUACUGUUAUUAUUAUUAUCAGGUUUUUCCGUGUGUUUUGUUUUGUCUUUUGAUGGAUUAAAAGUCAUCUUAUGAGAUAGACGUGUGCUAUGCACUUGCAUUUUGCAGUUUGUUUUUUCUGUUAGCUUACACAGCCACCCA
Astatotilapia calliptera (eastern happy) is the source of this 1336-nucleotide long non-coding RNA. The record is from Ensembl. NCBI's taxonomy places the organism in Eukaryota, Metazoa, Chordata, Actinopteri, Cichliformes, Cichlidae.